Caenorhabditis elegans is the source of this 21-nucleotide non-coding RNA. The record is from Ensembl. NCBI's taxonomy places the organism in Eukaryota, Metazoa, Nematoda, Chromadorea, Rhabditida, Rhabditidae.
UCAGACGACGAUCCGGUUAUU